RNAcentral lists this transfer RNA (77 nucleotides) under Planctomycetota bacterium. RNAcentral's name for it is "Planctomycetes bacterium tRNA-Met". It matches the Rfam family "tRNA". From Rfam's summary of the family: Transfer RNA (tRNA) molecules are approximately 80 nucleotides in length. Their secondary structure includes four short double-helical elements and three loops (D, anti-codon, and T loops). The record is from RNAcentral. Lineage: Bacteria; Pseudomonadati; Planctomycetota.
GCGCCCGUAGCUCAAUCGGUUAGAGCAGCAGACUCAUAAUCUGUUGGUUCCAGGUUCGAGUCCUGGCGGGCGUACUA